GGGGAAUAUUGGACAAUGGGGGGAACCCUGAUCCAGCAAUGCCGCGUGUGUGAAGAAGGCCUGCGGGUUGUAAAGCACUUUCAGUGGGGAGGAGGGGUAUUUGGUUAAGAGCUGGAUAUUUGGACGUUACCCACAGAAGAAGCACCGGCUAACUCCGUGCCAGCAGCCGCGGUAAUACGGAGGGUGCGAGCGUUAAUCGGAAUUACUGGGCGUAAAGGGUGCGUAGGUGGUUUGAUAAGUUAUCUGUAAAAUCCCCGGGCUUAACCUGGGCAGGUCAGAUAAGACUGUUGGACUUGAGUACAGGAGAGGGCAGUGGAAUUUCCGGUGUAGCGGUGAAAUGCGUAGAGAUCGGAAGGAACACCAGUGGCGAAGGCGGCUGCCUGGCCUGAUACUGACACUGAGGCACGAAAGCGUGGGGAGCAAAC
Molecule: ribosomal RNA, 425 nt
Filed under: uncultured bacterium
Lineage: Bacteria
Description: bacterial SSU rRNA
Rfam family: Bacterial small subunit ribosomal RNA
Source: RNAcentral